GUGCUUGCCUCAGCAGCACAUACACUAAAAUUGGAAUGAUACAGAGAUUAGCAUGGCUCCUGCUCAAGGAUGACACGCAAAUUCAUCAAGUGUUCCGUACUUAA
Molecule: small nuclear RNA, 104 nt
Organism: Bubalus bubalis (water buffalo)
Lineage: Eukaryota; Metazoa; Chordata; Mammalia; Artiodactyla; Bovidae
Source: RefSeq, a predicted model, not a curated record